AAGUCGUAACAAGGUAACCGUAGGUGAACCUGCGGUUGGAUCAUUAAAUUGAAAAAGAGAGAGAAGAAAUUCUCUUGAUUUUUAAACAUUUAGAGAUAAUUGAAUGUUUUUUUUGUGGAGAGAAAAGAGAUUCUUUUUUUUUCCACAAAUUUAAAUAAACCAUUUUUAUUAUUAUUAUUAUAAAAUAAAAUAAAAACAACUUUUGACAACGGAUCUCUUGGCUCUCGUA
RNAcentral lists this unclassified non-coding RNA (229 nucleotides) under fungal sp. RNAcentral describes it as "partial internal transcribed spacer region". The stretch from base 1 to 46 matches the Rfam family "Eukaryotic small subunit ribosomal RNA", at positions 1786 to 1831 of the family's 1831-position model. The record is from RNAcentral. Lineage: Eukaryota; Fungi.